AAACCCUCCAUUUGUCUGAGCCAGGGCCCUUAGUGUCCUCGGGAGAGAACUUGACCUUGCAGUGCUACUCAGAGAUCUGGUUGGGUACCUUCUGUCUGUCCAAGGACCGGUCACUUGUGCCUCCCCAAAACCAUCGAUUGAAAGACAUGGCCUUACUCUCUCAGGCCAAGUUUACUCCAAGCCCUCUGACUUCAGCCCACAGGGGGACCUACUAGUGCUGUGGUCCACAUAGUUCCUCCUUACCCCUAUUGUCACACCCCAGUGACCCCUAAAGAUUUUGGUCUCACCUUCAGACUAUGCAAUGGAGAAUCUCAUUCCAAUGACCAUGCUGGCUUGAUCCUGGCGGUCUCUAGGGGAUGAUCUUUCAGGCUCAGCACAGCCAGAGAAGGCCCCCAAAGGCCGCC
RNAcentral lists this long non-coding RNA (404 nucleotides) under Homo sapiens (human). RNAcentral describes it as "non-protein coding lnc-LILRA5-2:1". The record is from RNAcentral. Lineage: Eukaryota; Metazoa; Chordata; Mammalia; Primates; Hominidae.